Molecule: ribosomal RNA, 811 nt
Filed under: Occidozyga cf. laevis 1 KOC-2020
Lineage: Eukaryota; Metazoa; Chordata; Amphibia; Anura; Dicroglossidae
Description: partial large subunit ribosomal RNA
Rfam family: Archaeal large subunit ribosomal RNA
Source: RNAcentral
ACACUGUAUUAUUAUGAACCCAUAAUUAAUAUUGAAUAAAUUCAUAAAUUAUGAAAACUAUUAUGCUAGAACUAGUAACAAGAAAAUGUAUUUCUCCAAGGCGCAAGCAUAAGCCAACAACGGACCACCCAUUGGCACAUAACGGCACUGAAUCAACUAUAACAAAAUAACUAGAAAAUAUUAUAUUUUAUUAUACCGUUAACCUUACACAAGAGUCCCCCUGGAAAGAUUAAAAGGAGGAGAAGGAACUCGGCAAAUACUAGCCCCGCCUGUUUACCAAAAACAUCGCCUCUUGAUUAGAUAUAAGAGGUCCAGCCUGCCCAGUGUUUUAAUUCAACGGCCGCGUGAUUUAAGCGCGCGAAGGUAGCAUAAUAAUUUGUUCUUUAAAUGAGGACUUGUAUCAAUGGCAUCACGAGGGCUAUACUGUCUCCUCCCCCCAAUCAGUGAAACUAAUCUUCCUGUGAAAAAGCAGGAAUAAGACUAUAAGACGAGAAGACCCCAUGGAGCUUAAAACACAGCAUUAAUUCUAAUUACAUUAUCAAUAUAAUUUUAUAUACUACAUGCCAGUUUUAGGUUGGGGUGACCGCGGAGUACAACAAAGCCUCCACAACGAAAAAGGUUUAUACCCUUAUCCAAGAGAUACUUCUCUAAGAAUUAUUCAAUAUAACGUUUAAUGACCCGACUAUCGAUCAACGGACCAAGUUACCCUGGGGAUAACAGCGCAAUCCACUUUGAGAGCCCCUAUCGACAAGUGGGCUUACGACCUCGAUGUUGGAUCAGGGUAUCCUAGUGGUGCAGCCGCUACUAAAGG